This 484-nucleotide ribosomal RNA is filed under the name uncultured bacterium. RNAcentral's name for it is "partial 16S ribosomal RNA". It matches the Rfam family "Bacterial small subunit ribosomal RNA", at positions 30 to 507 of the family's 1533-position model. The record is from RNAcentral.
AUUGAACGCUGGCGGCAGGCCUAACACAUGCAAGUCGAGCGGAUGAAGGGAGCUUGCUCCUGGAUUCAGCGGCGGACGGGUGAGUAAUGCCUAGGAAUCUGCCUGGUAGUGGGGGAUAACGUCCGGAAACGGGCGCUAAUACCGCAUACGUCCUGAGGGAGAAAGUGGGGGAUCUUCGGACCUCACGCUAUCAGAUGAGCCUAGGUCGGAUUAGCUAGUUGGUGGGGUAAAGGCCUACCAAGGCGACGAUCCGUAACUGGUCUGAGAGGAUGAUCAGGCACACUGGGACUGAGACACGGUCCAGACUCCUACGGGAGGCAGCAGUGGGGAAUAUUGGACGAUGGGCGAAAGCCUGAUCCAGCCAUGCCGCGUGUGUGAAGAAGGUCUUCGGAUUGUAAAGCACUUUAAGUUGGGAGGAAGGGCAGUAAGUUAAUACCUUGCUGUUUUGACGUUACCAACAGAAUAAGCACCGGCUAACUUCGUG